UACGGGGGGGGCAAGCGUUGUUCGGAAUUACUGGGCGUAAAGGGCUCGUAGGCGGCCAACUAAGUCAGACGUGAAAUCCCUCGGCUUAACCGGGGAACUGCAUCUGAUACUGGAUGGCUUGAGGCCGGGAGAGGGUAGCGGAAUUCCCAGUGUAGCGGUGAAAUGCGUAGAUAUUGGGAGGAGCACCAGUGGCGAAGGCGGCUACCUGGACCGGUUCUGACGCUGAGGCGCGAAAGCGUGGGGAGCGAACGGG
RNAcentral lists this ribosomal RNA (253 nucleotides) under uncultured bacterium. RNAcentral describes it as "partial 16S ribosomal RNA". It matches the Rfam family "Bacterial small subunit ribosomal RNA", at positions 524 to 776 of the family's 1533-position model. The record is from RNAcentral.